AAUAACUUUAUUUUUCGUUUUCCGUGUUUGACCAUUCGUCUUAUUUGAAAUAUUUUACGAUUGAUACUUUUAUUAUUACUACUAGAUAAUAAAAUAUGAAUAGUACUUUAUACGUCAUAAUUAUUUUUUAAGUUUUUAUAUAAAUUUUUCAAAUAAGACGAAUGGUCAAUCGUUGGAUACGGAAAAAC
This 188-nucleotide microRNA precursor is filed under the name Oryza brachyantha (malo sina). RNAcentral's name for it is "MIR812 microRNA precursor family". It matches the Rfam family "MIR812 microRNA precursor family". Lineage: Eukaryota; Viridiplantae; Streptophyta; Magnoliopsida; Poales; Poaceae. The record is from Rfam by way of RNAcentral.